UGCCUUACACAUGCAAGUCGAACGGCAGCACGGGAGCAAUCCUGGUGGCGAGUGGCGAACGGGUGAGUAAUAUAUCGGAACGUGCCCAGUCGUGGGGGAUAACGUAGCGAAAGCUACGCUAAUACCGCAUACGAUCUAUGGAUGAAAGCGGGGGAUCGCAAGACCUCGCGCGAUUGGAGCGGCCGAUAUCAGAUUAGGUAGUUGGUGGGGUAAAAGCUCACCAAGCCGACGAUCUGUAGCUGGUCUGAGAGGACGACCAGCCACACUGGGACUGAGACACGGCCCAGACUCCUACGGGAGGCAGCAGUGGGGAAUUUUGGACAAUGGGGGCAACCCUGAUCCAGCCAUGCCGCGUGUGUGAAGAAGGCCUUCGGGUUGUAAAGCUC
Molecule: ribosomal RNA, 386 nt
Filed under: uncultured organism
Description: bacterial SSU rRNA
Rfam family: Bacterial small subunit ribosomal RNA
Source: RNAcentral